RNAcentral lists this transfer RNA (61 nucleotides) under Parhyale hawaiensis. Its description in RNAcentral is "tRNA-His". Lineage: Eukaryota; Metazoa; Arthropoda; Malacostraca; Amphipoda; Hyalidae. The record is from RNAcentral.
GUUUUAAUAGUUUAAAAAAAAUAUUAUUUUGUGGAAAUAAAGAUAUAGGUAAUUUAAAACA